GAUGAACGCUGGCGGCGUGCCUAAUACAUGCAAGUCGAGCGAACGGACGAGAAGCUUGCUUUUCUGAUGUUAGCGGCGGACGGGUGAGUAACACGUGGAUAACCUACCUAUAAGACUGGGAUAACUUCGGGAAACCGGAGCUAAUACCGGAUAAUAUUUUGAACCGCAUGGUUCAAAAGUGAAAGACGGUCUUGCUGUCACUUAUAGAUGGAUCCGCGCUGCAUUAGCUAGUUGGUAAGGUAACGGCUUACCAAGGCAACGAUGCAUAGCCGACCUGAGAGGGUGAUCGGCCACACUGGAACUGAGACACGGUCCAGACUCCUACGGGAGGCAGCAGUAGGGAAUCUUCCGCAAUGGGCGAAAGCCUGACGGAGCAACGCCGCGUGAGUGAUGAAGGUCUUCGGAUCGUAAAACUCUGUUAUUAGGGAAGAACAUAUGUGUAAGUAACUGUGCACAUCUUGACGGUACCUAAUCAGAAAGCCACGGCUAACUACGUGCCAGCAGCCGCGGUAAUACGUAGGUGGCAAGCGUUAUCCGGAAUUAUUGGGCGUAAAGCGCGCGUAGGCGGUUUUUUAAGUCUGAUGUGAAAGCCCACGGCUCAACCGUGGAGGGUCAUUGGAAACUGGAAAACUUGAGUGCAGAAGAGGAAAGUGGAAUUCCAUGUGUAGCGGUGAAAUGCGCAGAGACAUGGAGGAACACCAGUGGCGAAGGCGACUUUCUGGUCUGUAACUGACGCUGAUGUGCGAAAGCGUGGGGAUCAAACAGGAUUAGAUACCCUGGUAGUCCACGCCGUAAACGAUGAGUGCUAAGUGUUAGGGGGUUUCCGCCCCUUAGUGCUGCAGCUAACGCAUUAAGCACUCCGCCUGGGGAGUACGACCGCAAGGUUGAAACUCAAAGGAAUUGACGGGGACCCGCACAAGCGGUGGAGCAUGUGGUUUAAUUCGAAGCAACGCGAAGAACCUUACCAAAUCUUGACAUCCUUUGACAACUCUAGAGAUAGAGCCUUCCCCUUCGGGGGACAAAGUGACAGGUGGUGCAUGGUUGUCGUCAGCUCGUGUCGUGAGAUGUUGGGUUAAGUCCCGCAACGAGCGCAACCCUUAAGCUUAGUUGCCAUCAUUAAGUUGGGCACUCUAAGUUGACUGCCGGUGACAAACCGGAGGAAGGUGGGGAUGACGUCAAAUCAUCAUGCCCCUUAUGAUUUGGGCUACACACGUGCUACAAUGGACAAUACAAAGGGCAGCGAAACCGCGAGGUCAAGCAAAUCCCAUAAAGUUGUUCUCAGUUCGGAUUGUAGUCUGCAACUCGACUACAUGAAGCUGGAAUCGCUAGUAAUCGUAGAUCAGCAUGCUACGGUGAAUACGUUCCCGGGUCU
RNAcentral lists this ribosomal RNA (1372 nucleotides) under uncultured bacterium. RNAcentral's name for it is "bacterial SSU rRNA". It matches the Rfam family "Bacterial small subunit ribosomal RNA", at positions 28 to 1381 of the family's 1533-position model. The record is from RNAcentral.